AUGAUUACUGAGUAUUCUCUCCCAGAUGAGGUAUUAAUAUAGAGCGCCAUGGCAUGCAGAAGAAGAAGCAUGUUGCAUCAGGUCAGAGGUCCAUCUGUUCUUGAGUUCUGUUCCCAACCAGGACCUAAAGCUGAUGGUCUUCAUCUGCUGUUCAUCCUCACUCAUGUACCAUUCAGAGAUACACCCUGGCUUGCAGUUCCAUCCUUCGUUUUCGUGGCUAAAAGUCCCUGAAAGGAAAUAGUCCUAUUCUGCACAGUUUGGGUCCAAAUUAAGCUAACCAGUGGAAUGUAAGUGCAGCAAAUUGAGCCUUACAAAUUAGUUUUAAUCAUUUUCUAGCACAAUCUAACCUAGUGACUCAUCACUGGGGCUUUUUUCAGCCAGAACUCAGUUCCAGCACCUUGUAAGUGGGCACCAUUGCCAUUAUAAGAGAACAACUGAGGUGAUCAUGGUGAUUUCCGGCACCUCUUUCUUUAGAACAGUGGUUCUCAACCUGUGGGUCCCCAGAUGUUGUUGGACUACAACUCCCAUCAUCCCUGAGCUCUGGCCUUGCUAGCUAGGGGUGAUGGGAGAUGGGAUCCUCAUAACAGAGGGUCCUAGUUGCGCACGGGACCCAAGAGCUCACCUGAUAGGGUUAGAAUGGGGGGGGGAGGAGCAAGAAGUCCUGGCCAUUCCCCUGGGAUCACACCAGGCGAUUUUAGCCAAUCCCCAGUGGGUGGCGUGAUCCCAGGGGCUUUAAAAACAGCAGUGUGAUGCAAGGAGGGGCACUUGCUUCGCACUGUUGAACACCCACCCAACCUCCCUAGUUUAGGUAGAGUCGCUUGGCCUUGCUUUGGUUUGGGUCGCCUGUUUUGGAACAGGGGCUGGGUAGGAAUUUUUCCAUUUGGAAGAUUGGCUUUAGCCAUUUGGUUUUCGCCUACCCCUCAGCAAAUCGUCACAACUUGUAAGGUGGCGGUUAGACAAUGGCUCAGUUGGAUUGUGGGGAGGGGAGGUGCGGCCAUCACCUGCCCCUCCAGGAACUGGGUAUUCCGUAAAAGGAAUCUGGGGGUCCUGGAUCUCGUCCGAAGUCCGCUUGAGGGGCUAGGGCCAUGCCAGGACCACAGGAACCUCGGGGUGAGCUUUGGUUGGUCCUCAUCGACCUAGCUCCCUCGUUUGGUUUACCCCAUUAGAUGAUUGCCCUGAGAGGUGGAGCCAGUUAUAGUGGGGAGUCAAUGCCUAAGCCAAUACCGCUCACGUGAUUGUAUUUCAAUAAAGUUGUGGCCAAAAAUUUUGCCCCAAAACUUAAACUAAUAUAAGUGUCCGUGUGUAUUUAUUUUGGGGGUGGGUCUUGGGGCCUCGAGAUGCAUUUGUAGUUCAACAACAUCUGGGGACCCGGAGGUUGAGAAAGGCUGCUCUAGAAGAAUAGAACUGGUCCUCACAUAUUCUGCCCGGUGUAUGAAGCUGCUCCUUCCUUCUAUCGCAAGCUCCAUGCUGUUCAUUUUUGCUUGGAGUGAGCCCAGAGUUUUAAUAUUAUGAGUGAGAGAGGGAAGAAAGCCCCACUCUCCACUACUAUAUUCAUAAUUUUAUAACCCCCUCUCCCCACUGUCCUCCCUUUCCAUGCUCCCUCUGUUCUGUUAUUGAACUGAAGGUAGCCUCAGUCAGCAAACAAGCCAUAGAUGGAGGCGGGCAUCGCAGUGCCUGCUGUGGCAGAGCUUGAUCUUAAGGAACCAUCAGGAUUACAGAUCAUUGCCUGGCUGAAUGAUGUCUUUCCUGGAGGAAGCUUAUUAACGAUGCUGCACUCUGAGGCUUGGCUUCGAGUAAUAAUUCUUUUAGCCGCACAAGGGAGCUUGUCACUGCAAUCAUUCUUCUUCACCGCAGGAGCCGAGUAGGACCUUCCAUGUGAAUCGAAGAGCAAGCCACUUAUCUCCUGUAACUAACUCUGUGUUGGCCGUUUCCAUAAAGAAAGUUUUCAUUUCC
RNAcentral lists this long non-coding RNA (1953 nucleotides) under Podarcis lilfordi (Lilford's wall lizard). Lineage: Eukaryota; Metazoa; Chordata; Lepidosauria; Squamata; Lacertidae. The record is from RNAcentral.